AUGCUCUCUUUGAUAGCACAUACUCUAAAAUUAGAACAAUACAGAGAAGAUUAGCCUGGCCCUGGCAAGGCUGACAAGCAAAUUCGUGACGUAUUCCAUAUUUUA
This is a small nuclear RNA of Microtus oregoni (creeping vole), 105 nucleotides long. The record is from RefSeq and is a predicted model, not a curated record. Lineage: Eukaryota; Metazoa; Chordata; Mammalia; Rodentia; Cricetidae.